CCUAAGGGGGUUGGACUAUUGUAAUCACCAUAUGUCUGAAAAAAGAAAAAAAAAAAAACAUGAAUAGGGUUGGUCGGGCUGAACCCAGUGACAUGUGGUAAUGGCUGGUUUGACUCCAUUGUAUUGGACCUUUGUGUACUUUGGAUAUUUAGUUGGGAUUGAUAGCUCUUUCUUUACAUACGAACCAUUCUUGACAAUUUUAGACAACAUGAGAUAUUCCGAAAAUUUGAUGGAUCAGGCCCUAAUAAACUGUAGUAAACACUUGUGAACUUGAGUAGUACACCUAAAAUUCAAGCGGUACCAUGUUGUGGUGGAGGUAUUAGUGCUCUAAGAAAGUCAUCUGUUUAUGCAUACUACACUUCAGUAUUACCCUUGCUUUGAUAGUUGCCAUGCUUGAAAAAAAAUAUAUAUCACGUGUGCAUUGACUUAAAUUUCAUUAUAUAUCAUUUUAUGAAUGAUGUUUGUGGGUAACAUCACUGCAAACCCUCACGAGACAACACUCGUCCACUAGGGUAACCUAGA
This 522-nucleotide long non-coding RNA is filed under the name Phoenix dactylifera (date palm). RNAcentral's name for it is "long non-coding RNA (PDAC_LNC022539)". The record is from RNAcentral. Lineage: Eukaryota; Viridiplantae; Streptophyta; Magnoliopsida; Arecales; Arecaceae.